GACUGGUGCUUGCACUGGUCUAAGGAGUUGCGAACGGGUGAGUAACGCGUAGGUAACCUACCUCAUAGCGGGGAUAACUAUUGGAAACGAUAGCUAAUACCGCAUGACAAUAGGGUACACAUGUACCUAUUUAAAAGGGCAAAUGCUUCACUAUGAGAUGGACCUGCGUUGUAUUAGCUAGUUGGUAAGGUAACGGCUUACCAAGGCGACGAUACAUAGCCGACCUGAGAGGGUGAUCGGCCACACUGGGACUGAGACACGGC
RNAcentral lists this ribosomal RNA (263 nucleotides) under Streptococcus hongkongensis. RNAcentral describes it as "partial 16S ribosomal RNA". It matches the Rfam family "Bacterial small subunit ribosomal RNA", at positions 71 to 330 of the family's 1533-position model. Lineage: Bacteria; Bacillati; Bacillota; Bacilli; Lactobacillales; Streptococcaceae. The record is from RNAcentral.